UGAGGAAUAUUGGUCAAUGGGAGAGAUCCUGAACCAGCCAAGCCGCGUGAGGGAAGACGGCCCUAUGGGUUGUAAACCUCUUUUGCCGGGGAGCAAAGUGCCGCACGUGUGCGGUUUGGAGAGUACCCGGAGAAAAAGCAUCGGCUAACUCCGUGCCAGCAGCCGCGGUAAUACGGAGGAUGCGAGCGUUAUCCGGAUUUAUUGGGUUUAAAGGGUGCGUAGGCGGUCCGUUAAGUCAGCGGUAAAAUUGCGGGGCUCAACCCCGUCGAGCCGUUGAAACUGGCAGACUUGAGUUGGCGAGAAGUACGCGGAAUGCGCGGUGUAGCGGUGAAAUGCAUAGAUAUCGCGCAGAACUCCGAUUGCGAAGGCAGCAUGCCGGCUCCACACUGACGCUGAGGCACGAAAGCGUGGGUAUCGAACAGG
Molecule: ribosomal RNA, 423 nt
Filed under: uncultured bacterium
Lineage: Bacteria
Description: bacterial SSU rRNA
Rfam family: Bacterial small subunit ribosomal RNA
Source: RNAcentral